UACGUAGGGUCCGAGCGUUGUCCGGAAUUAUUGGGCGUAAAGGGCGCGUAGGCGGCCUGGCAAGUGGAAGGUGAAAUCCCUCGGCUUAACCGAGGAACUGCCCUCCAAACUGCUUGGCUUGAGACCGGGAGAGGUGAGUGGAAUUCCCAGUGUAGCGGUGAAAUGCGUAGAUAUUGGGAGGAACACCAGUGGCGAAGGCGGCUCACUGGACCGGUACUGACGCUGAGGCGCGAAAGCGUGGGGAGCAAACGGG
This 253-nucleotide ribosomal RNA is filed under the name uncultured bacterium. Its description in RNAcentral is "partial 16S ribosomal RNA". It matches the Rfam family "Bacterial small subunit ribosomal RNA", at positions 524 to 776 of the family's 1533-position model. The record is from RNAcentral.